Molecule: ribosomal RNA, 212 nt
Filed under: uncultured bacterium
Lineage: Bacteria
Description: partial 16S ribosomal RNA
Rfam family: Bacterial small subunit ribosomal RNA
Source: RNAcentral
ACGUUCGGAUUGUAGUCUGCAACCCGACUACAUGAAGCUGGAAUCGCUAGUAAUCGCGAAUCAGAAUGUCGCGGUGAAUACGUUCCCGGGUCUUGUACACACCGCCCGUCACACCAUGGGAGUCGGAAAUGCCCGAAGUCAGUGACCCAACCGUAAGGAGGGAGCUGCCGAAGGUGGAGCCGGUAACUGGGGUGAAGUCGUAACAAGGUAUC